Molecule: non-coding RNA, 72 nt
Organism: Angiostrongylus cantonensis (rat lungworm)
Lineage: Eukaryota; Metazoa; Nematoda; Chromadorea; Rhabditida; Metastrongylidae
Source: Rfam
AGCAGCGUGGCGCAGUGGAAGCGUGCUGGGCCCAUAACCCAUAGGUCGGUUCAUCGAAACCACUCGAUGCUA